CCUACGGGGGGCAGCAGUGGGGAAUAUUGGACAAUGGGGGCAACCCUGAUCCAGCCAUGCCGCGUGUGUGAAGAAGGCCCUCGGGUUGUAAAGCACUUUCAGUGAGGAAGAACGCCUGGUGGUUAAUACCCAUCAGGAAAGACAUCACUCACAGAAGAAGCACCGGCUAACUCCGUGCCAGCAGCCGCGGUAAUACGGAGGGUGCGAGCGUUAAUCGGAAUUACUGGGCGUAAAGCGCGCGUAGGUGGCUUGAUAAGCCGGUUGUGAAAGCCCCGGACUCAACCUGGGAACGGCAUCCGGAACUGUCAAGCUAGAGUGCAGGAGAGGAAGGUAGAAUUCCCGGUGUAGCGGUGAAAUGCGUAGAGAUCGGGAGGAAUACCAGUGGCGAAGGCGGCCUUCUGGACUGACACUGACACUGAGGUGCGAAAGCGUGGGUAGCAAACAGGAUUAGAUACCCCUGUAGUC
Molecule: ribosomal RNA, 465 nt
Filed under: Vreelandella stevensii
Lineage: Bacteria; Pseudomonadati; Pseudomonadota; Gammaproteobacteria; Oceanospirillales; Halomonadaceae
Description: partial 16S ribosomal RNA
Rfam family: Bacterial small subunit ribosomal RNA
Source: RNAcentral